Molecule: non-coding RNA, 324 nt
Organism: Vicia faba (fava bean)
Lineage: Eukaryota; Viridiplantae; Streptophyta; Magnoliopsida; Fabales; Fabaceae
Source: the annotation of a GenBank genome assembly
AUGUUAGUUUUAGGAGUUUUGAUCUGUGUAUUUUCUCCAUCUCUUUUGCUUUCCCCAGUUGUCAAUAUUAUGCAUGGGGAGACAGCUUGCAUUUGUAAAUUCAUCAUUAGAUUUAGAAGGGCUUGGUUUGUUUCUCACAGCUUCUGUUCCUUUUUAUGGUUGAUUGAAGGGGCUAAACCCCACCAGAAGAACAACUACACAUGCUGGGCUAAAGAGUCUGCAUCCCCAUUCGAUAAUAACAAUGCUAGAAACCAAGUUAGAGCAAAACGUAGCCAAAAAUCUCUUCGACCUUGCUUAGUUUAUUACUUAACCUUACAAAUUUAA